GUUGUAUAGUCAAGUAAUGAAGUGCACAUGGUGGAUGCCUUGGCAGUCAGAGGCGAUGAAAGACGUGACAGCCUGCGAAAAGCGUCGGGGAGGCGGCAAUAUCCUGUGAUCCGGCGAUAUCUGAAUGGGGAAACCCACCUACCAUAAGGUAGGUACCCCGCUAUAUUUUAUAGCGGGGGGCAAACCGGGAGAAGUGAAACAUCUCAGUAACCCGAGGAAAAGAC
This 224-nucleotide ribosomal RNA is filed under the name Salmonella enterica subsp. enterica serovar Enteritidis. RNAcentral's name for it is "partial 23S ribosomal RNA". It matches the Rfam family "Bacterial large subunit ribosomal RNA", at positions 1 to 223 of the family's 2925-position model. The record is from RNAcentral. Lineage: Bacteria; Pseudomonadati; Pseudomonadota; Gammaproteobacteria; Enterobacterales; Enterobacteriaceae.